This 1063-nucleotide long non-coding RNA is filed under the name Homo sapiens (human). RNAcentral describes it as "testis expressed transcript, Y-linked 14, transcript variant 2 (TTTY14)". The record is from RNAcentral. Lineage: Eukaryota; Metazoa; Chordata; Mammalia; Primates; Hominidae.
AAUCGUCAAUGCGACGUCCUCCUACUCCCACCUCAGAGCUGUCACAGAGACUGUCAGUUCCGUCCCUCCCCUUCAGCCCUUUAACGCACGUCUUCCCGACCGCAUAACUUGCUCAGUCCCUGCGGCCAACUGGGGCGGGCCAAUGGCUGUGACGGAUAAGGGGUGUGGGGUGCGGGGACAAUGGGCCAGAGCUUCUCAUGCAGCCUGCACCAGCGCCGGGUCGGAGAGUCAGAGGCCACCCUGAGAUGGACCGAGAUCUUCAGUUGGGGAGGCGCCUCCGGUGAGCUUGCGGCCAGAUGCCCCCUCAGUAGUCCUCCGCAACAGGUGCCGCGCAGCCGAGUGGCGGGCUAGCAUACCGCCUGCCCGCAAUUCGGCCAGGCCUCGAGCCUGCUCCGCCUUCCCGCUGCGGUAGCGCCGCCGGGGAAACGCCGCCACGGGCUGCAUGGGCAGCGCUCGCGCCCCGCCGCUGAGCCGCCGGGGAGCCGUCCAGUCUUCGAAUCCCAGAAACACAAAGAUGGUGCAGACCCAGGCCCUGCUUUGACUGGGAGAAAGAUGCAUUCAGUUGACUAAAACUUGAACCACAGCAUGUUCCGAAGAGAUGAUUGGAAGAUGGAAGUGGAGGGUUAAAUAAUGAAAUGCAGCUAACAUUUCGGAAAGUUUCUAAAAGUUGUACAACAUGCCCUACAGCUACUCUUUAAAUCUCCAAAUCAAAUGAGUUUCAGGUGGAGCCUCUGGGAGGUGAUGAGGUCAUGAGAGUGGAGCCUCAUGAAUGGGAUGAGCACUCCUACAAAAAGGAUUCCAGAGAGCUCGCUUGCUCCUUCCACAGUGUGAGGACACAGAGGGAAGGCUCUGUCUAUGAAUGAGAAAGUGGGUCCCCACCAGACAUUGAAUCUGCCGCAUCUUGAUACUGGACUUCCAGUCUCCAGAACUGUGGGCAAUAAAUGUCUGUUGUUUAUUACCUGUCCAGUAUCUUUGGUAUUUUGCUAUAGCAACCCAAAUGGACUAAGAAAACACCAGAGGCCAUACCUAAUAAAAAUAUUGACAUCACAAAAAAAAAAAAAAA